GACGAACGCUGGCGGCGUGCUUAACACAUGCAAGUCGAACGGUAAGGCCCUUCGGGGUACACGAGUGGCGAACGGGUGAGUAACACGUGGGUGACCUGCCCUGCACUUCGGGAUAAGCCUGGGACACUGGGUCUAAUACCGGAUACGACCCUGGGAUGCAUGUCCUGGGGUGGAAAACUUUUGCGGUGUGGGAUGGGCCCGCGGCCUAUCAGCGUGUUGGUGGGGUGAUGGCCUACCAAGGCGACGACGGGUAGCCGGCCUGAGAGGGUGACCGGCCACACUGGGACUGAGAUACGGCCCAGACUCCUACGGGAGGCAGCAGUGGGGAAUAUUGCACAAUGGGCGCAAGCCUGAUGCAGCGACGCCGCGUGAGGGAUGACGGCCUUCGGGUUGUAAACCUCUUUCAGCACCGACGAAGCGCAAGUGACGGUAGGUGCAGCAGAAGGACCGGCUAACUACGUGCCAGCAGCCGCAGUAA
Molecule: ribosomal RNA, 478 nt
Filed under: uncultured bacterium
Lineage: Bacteria
Description: partial 16S ribosomal RNA
Rfam family: Bacterial small subunit ribosomal RNA
Source: RNAcentral